RNAcentral lists this ribosomal RNA (403 nucleotides) under uncultured bacterium. RNAcentral's name for it is "partial 16S ribosomal RNA". It matches the Rfam family "Bacterial small subunit ribosomal RNA", at positions 29 to 526 of the family's 1533-position model. The record is from RNAcentral.
AUCGAACGCUGGCGGCAGGCCUAACACAUGCAAGUCGAGCGAGCGGCGGACGGGUGAGUAAUGUAUGGGGACUGCCCGAUAGAGGGGGAUAACUACUGGAAAAGGUGGCUAAUACCGCAUACUAUCGGAUAACCCAUAUGGGAUUGGCUAGUAGGUGGGGUAAAGGCUCACCUAGGCGACGAUCGCUAGCUGGUCCGAGAGGCGGAUCGGCAACACUGGGACUGAGACACGGCCCAGACUCCUAGGGAGGCAGCAGUGGGGAAUAUUGGACAAUGGGCGCAAGCCUGAUGCAGCCAUGCCGCGUGUGUGAAGAGGGCCUUAGGGUUGUAAAAUACUUUCAGCGGGGAGGCGGUACCCGCAGAGGAAGCACCGGCUAACUACGUGCCAGCAGCCGCGGUAAUAC